This 416-nucleotide ribosomal RNA is filed under the name uncultured prokaryote. Its description in RNAcentral is "bacterial SSU rRNA". It matches the Rfam family "Bacterial small subunit ribosomal RNA", at positions 505 to 918 of the family's 1533-position model. The record is from RNAcentral.
GUGUCAGCCGCCGCGGUAAGACGGAGGAGGCAAGCGUUGUCCGGAAUCAUUGGGCGUAAAGAGCGCGUAGGCGGUUUUUCAAGUCGUAUGUGAAAACUUCAGGCUUAACCUGAUGAUUGCAUAUGAAACUGGAUAACUUGAGUACAGCAGAGGAAAGUGGAAUUCCUGGUGUAGCGGUGAAAUGUGCAGAUAUCAGGAAGAACACCAGUAGCGAAGGCGGCUUUCUGGGCUGUUACUGACGCUGAGGCGCGAAAGCUAGGGGAGCGAACAGGAUUAGAUACCCUGGUAGUCCUAGCCGUAAACGAUGGACACUAGGCGUGGGAAGUUAUCGACGCUUUCUGUGCCGAAGCUAACGCAUUAAGUGUCCCGCCUGGGGAGUACGGCCGCAAGGCUAAAACUUAAAUGAAUUGGCGGGG